GAGUUUGAUCCUGGCUCAGAUUGAACGCUGGCGGCAUGCCUUACACAUGCAAGUCGAACGGCAGCACGGGAGCUUGCUCCUGGUGGCGAGUGGCGAACGGGUGAGUAAUGCAUCGGAACGUAUCCUGGAGUGGGGGAUAACGUAGCGAAAGUUACGCUAAUACCGCAUAUUCUGUGAGCAGGAAAGCGGGGGACCUUCGGGCCUCGCGCUCUUGGAGCGGCCGAUGUCGGAUUAGCCUAGUUGGUGAGGUAAAGGCUCACCAAGGCGACGAUCCGUAGCAGGUCUGAGAGGAUG
This 294-nucleotide ribosomal RNA is filed under the name bacterium enrichment culture clone ALO1_GLFRUDD03GMKW3. RNAcentral's name for it is "partial 16S ribosomal RNA". It matches the Rfam family "Bacterial small subunit ribosomal RNA", at positions 9 to 302 of the family's 1533-position model. The record is from RNAcentral.